GACGAACGCUGGCGGCGUGCUUAACACAUGCAAGUCGAACGAAGUGGCGAACGGGUGAGUAACACGUGAGUAACUGCCCUUGACUCUGGGAUAACCUCCGGAAACGGAAGCUAAUACCGGAUAAGGAUGGACUCGCGGCCUAUCAGGUAGUUGGUGAGGUAACGGCUCACCAAGCCUACGACGGGUAGCCGGCCUGAGAGGGGACCGGCCACACUGGGCUGAGACACGGCCCAGACUCCUACGGGAGGCAGCAGUGGGGAAUAUUGCACAAUGGGCGCAAGCCUGAUGCAGCAACGCCGCGUGAGGGAUGACGGCCUUCGGGUUGUAAACCUCUUUUAGUAGGGAAGCGGUACCUGCAGAAAAAGCACCGGCUAACUACGUGCCAGCAGCCGCGGUAAUACGUAGGGUGCGAGCGUUGUCCGGAAUUAUUGGGCGUAAAGAGCUCGUAGGCGGUCUGUCGCGUCUGCUGUGAAAACCCGAGGCUCAACCUCGGGCCUGCAGUGGGUACGGGCAGACUAGAGUGCGGUAGGGGAGAAUGGAAUUCCUGGUGUAGCGGUGGAAUGCGCAGAUAUC
This 573-nucleotide ribosomal RNA is filed under the name uncultured bacterium. RNAcentral describes it as "bacterial SSU rRNA". It matches the Rfam family "Bacterial small subunit ribosomal RNA", at positions 28 to 698 of the family's 1533-position model. The record is from RNAcentral.